Molecule: long non-coding RNA, 285 nt
Organism: Hermetia illucens (black soldier fly)
Lineage: Eukaryota; Metazoa; Arthropoda; Insecta; Diptera; Stratiomyidae
Exons: 3
Source: RefSeq, a predicted model, not a curated record
AAUAACCAAUACAUUGGGUUAUUGCACGGUGGAUAUCAUGCACAUUUGUAUUGUGUUUGCUGUAAUAUAGGACAUUAUCGGUUCGCAUAGAUCGAGGAUGACCAAUGGAACAAUCCGUUUUAGAUAUGUGGAUAUUUCUGCAAAGAAAGAUUGACUGGUUGAGAGAUUGAGAAAGCACCCUGAAUGAAGAAACCAGGGAGUUAAUUAUGUAAGAGAUUUUAAUUAAUCUGCCCAAAAUAAAUUCGAAGAGAAAAUGGCAGCAUUUGGGCUUUUCUGAUACUCUCA